Molecule: non-coding RNA, 24 nt
Filed under: Cricetulus griseus (Chinese hamster)
Lineage: Eukaryota; Metazoa; Chordata; Mammalia; Rodentia; Cricetidae
Source: RNAcentral
GUUAAGUUGGGAUUUUAUUUUUUU